RNAcentral lists this ribosomal RNA (650 nucleotides) under uncultured bacterium. RNAcentral describes it as "bacterial SSU rRNA". It matches the Rfam family "Bacterial small subunit ribosomal RNA", at positions 65 to 706 of the family's 1533-position model. The record is from RNAcentral.
AGCAGCAGCACGGGAAGCUUGCUUCCUGGUGGCGAGCGGCGGACGGGUGAGUAAUGCAUAGGAAUCUGCCCGGUAGUGGGGGAUAACCUGGGGAAACCCAGGCUAAUACCGCAUACGUCCUACGGGAGAAAGCAGGGGAUCUUCGGACCUUGCGCUAUCGGAUGAGCCUAUGCCGGAUUAGCUAGUUGGUGAGGUAAUGGCUCACCAAGGCGACGAUCCGUAGCUGGUCUGAGAGGAUGAUCAGCCACAUCGGGACUGAGACACGGCCCGAACUCCUACGGGAGGCAGCAGUGGGGAAUAUUGGACAAUGGGGGCAACCCUGAUCCAGCCCUGCCGCGUGUGUGAAGAAAGGCUUCGGGUUGUAAAGCACUUUCAGUGAGGAAGAAGGCCUUUGGCUUAAUACGCUGAAGGAAGGACAUCACUCACAGAAGAAGCACCGGCUAACUCCGUGCCAGCAGCCGCGGUAAUACGGAGGGUGCGAGCGUUAAUCGGAAUUACUGGGCGUAAAGCGCGCGUAGGUGGCUUGAUAAGCCGGUUGUGAAAGCCCUGGGCUCAACCUGGGAACGGCAUCCGGAACUGUCAGGCUAGAGUGCAGGAGAGGGGGGGUAGAAUUCCAGUGUAGCGGUGAAAUGCGUAGAGAUUUGGAGGAA